RNAcentral lists this ribosomal RNA (402 nucleotides) under uncultured bacterium. RNAcentral describes it as "bacterial SSU rRNA". It matches the Rfam family "Bacterial small subunit ribosomal RNA", at positions 356 to 773 of the family's 1533-position model. The record is from RNAcentral.
GGGGAAUAUUGCACAAUGGGCGAAAGCCUGAUGCAGCAACGCCGCGUGAGCGAUGAAGGCCUUUGGGUCGUAAAGCUCUGUCCUUGGGGAAGAAAAAAAUGACGGUACCCUUGGAGGAAGCCCCGGCUAACUACGUGCCAGCAGCCGCGGUAAUACGUAGGGGGCAAGCGUUAUCCGGAAUUAUUGGGCGUAAAGAGUACGUAGGUGGUCUUUUAAGCGCGAGGUUUAAGGCAAUGGCUCAACCAUUGUUCGCCUCGCGAACUGGAAGACUUGAGUACAGGAGAGGAAAGCGGAAUUCCUAGUGUAGCGGUGAAAUGCGUAGAUAUUAGGAGGAACAUCAGUGGCGAAGGCGGCUUUCUGGACUGAAACUGACACUGAGGUACGAAAGCGUGGGGAGCAAAC